RNAcentral lists this ribosomal RNA (465 nucleotides) under uncultured bacterium. RNAcentral's name for it is "partial 16S ribosomal RNA". It matches the Rfam family "Bacterial small subunit ribosomal RNA", at positions 28 to 507 of the family's 1533-position model. The record is from RNAcentral.
GAUGAACGCUGGCGGCGUGCUUAACACAUGCAAGUCGAACGAUGAAGCCCAGCUUGCUGGGUGGAUUAGUGGCGAACGGGUGAGUAACACGUGAGUAACCUGCCCUUGACUCUAGGAUAAGCCCGGGAAACGGGGUCUAAUACUGGAUAGGAACGUCUACCGCAUGGUGGGUGCUGGAAAGCAUUUCGGUCAUGGAUGGACUCGCGGCCUAUCAGCUUGUUGGCGAGGGAAUGGCUCACCAAGGCGACGACGGGUAGCCGGCCUGAGAGGUUGGCCGGCCACCCUGGGCCUGAGACACGGCCCAGUCUCCUACGGGAGGCAGCAGUGGGGAAUAUUGCACAAUGGGCGCAAGCCUGAUGCAGCGACGCCGCGUUAGUGAUGACGGCCUUCGGGUUGUAAACCUCUUUCAGUAGGGAAGAAGCGAAAGUGACGGUACCUGCAGAAGAAGCACCGGCUAACUACGUG